This 76-nucleotide transfer RNA is filed under the name Clostridiales bacterium. RNAcentral's name for it is "tRNA-Lys". It matches the Rfam family "tRNA". From Rfam's summary of the family: Transfer RNA (tRNA) molecules are approximately 80 nucleotides in length. Their secondary structure includes four short double-helical elements and three loops (D, anti-codon, and T loops). Lineage: Bacteria; Bacillati; Bacillota; Clostridia; Eubacteriales. RNAcentral also lists the same sequence under 1 other name. The record is from RNAcentral.
GCAUCCUUAGCUCAGUUGGUAGAGCAACUGACUCUUAAUCAGUGGGUCCGGAGUUCGAGUCUCCGAGGGUGUACCA